CCUGAACGCUGGCGGUAUGCUUAAGACAUGCAAGUCGAACGGUAACAGACCUUCGGGUGCUGACGAGUGGCGGACGGGUGAGUAACACGUGGGAAUCUACCUUGUAGUGGGGGAUAAGCCAGGGAAACUUGGACUAAUACCGCAUACGCCCUAAGGGGGAAAGGAGUAAUUCGCUAUAAGAUGAGCCCGCGUCUGAUUAGCUAGUUGGUGAGGUAAAGGCUCACCAAGGCGACGAUCAGUAGCUGGUCUGAGAGGAUGACCAGCCACAUUGGGACUGAGACACGGCCCAGACUCCUACGGGAGGCAGCAGUCGGGAAUAUUGGACAAUGGGGGCGAACCCUGAUCCAGCAAUACCG
Molecule: ribosomal RNA, 356 nt
Filed under: uncultured bacterium
Lineage: Bacteria
Description: bacterial SSU rRNA
Rfam family: Bacterial small subunit ribosomal RNA
Source: RNAcentral